Non-coding RNA from Paramuricea clavata, 491 nucleotides. Lineage: Eukaryota; Metazoa; Cnidaria; Anthozoa; Malacalcyonacea; Plexauridae. The record is from the annotation of a GenBank genome assembly.
CAUUUAAUUAUUAAAAGUAUAAAAUUACAUGUUGACAGUUUUAUCAUUACACUAUCAAAAUCAUCAAUUUAUAUGUGUUGCAUUUUAAAUGUGGUUCUAGCAAGAGCUUAAUGUAUAUAUGUACGGUAUAUAGUUAUCAAAACUGCGAUACGAACGAACGAAAUGAAAGUCACAUUACAUUUUCAGCAUAACAACAAGUACAAUCAAACAGGUAACUAAAACGGAACUUGGAAUCGGCAUGUUAUCGGAAUUACCUGGCUCAAUAACUGCAUUGCAAUUGGGCUUAUCACAGCAGGUCGGUUUACAAUCUUUAACAGUUGUGUUAUUCUUUUUCACUAAAGCACAUAUCUUAGAAGAAUCGAAGCAAACCGAGGACCUGUAACAACGUUCGUCAGUCAUCAAUUCGUUACCGACUUUGUAGUUAAUCCUCAUACAUCUAUCUUCUUCAUAACCACAACUCACAAUGUUAGUCUUACAUGUUUCACCUGGAA